RNAcentral lists this ribosomal RNA (250 nucleotides) under uncultured bacterium. RNAcentral's name for it is "partial 16S ribosomal RNA". It matches the Rfam family "Bacterial small subunit ribosomal RNA", at positions 524 to 773 of the family's 1533-position model. The record is from RNAcentral.
UACGGAGGGUGCAAGCGUUAUCCGGAUUUACUGGGUUUAAAGGGUGCGUAGGCGGCUUCUUAAGUCAGUGGUGAAAGCCUAGUGCUUAACACUAGAAAGGCCAUUGAUACUGGGAAGCUUGAGUCAAGGAGAGGUAAGCAGAAUUUAUGGUGUAGCAGUGAAAUGCUUAGAUACCAUAAGGAAUACCAAUAGCGAAGGCAGCUUACUGGCCUUGUACUGACGCUGAGGCACGAAAGCGUGGGGAGCAAAC